Molecule: ribosomal RNA, 492 nt
Filed under: uncultured bacterium
Lineage: Bacteria
Description: partial 16S ribosomal RNA
Rfam family: Bacterial small subunit ribosomal RNA
Source: RNAcentral
AGUGAACGCUGGCGGUAGGCCUAACACAUGCAAGUCGAACGGCAGCACAGUAAGAGCUUGCUCUUACGGGUGGCGAGUGGCGGACGGGUGAGGAAUACAUCGGAAUCUACUUUUUCGUGGGGGAUAACGUAGGGAAACUUACGCUAAUACCGCAUACGACCUACGGGUGAAAGCAGGGGAUCUUCGGACCUUGCGCGAUUGAAUGAGCCGAUGUCGGAUUAGCUAGUUGGCGGGGUAAAGGCCCACCAAGGCGACGAUCCGUAGCUGGUCUGAGAGGAUGGUCAGCCACACGGGAACUGAGACACGGUCCAGACUCCUACGGGAGGCAGCAGUGGGGAAUAUGGGACAAUGGGCGCAAGCCUGAUCCAGCCAUACCGCGUGGGUGAAGAAGGCGUUCGGGUUGUAAAGCCCUUUUGUUGGGAAAGAAAAGCAGCAGGUUAAUACCCCGCGGUUCUGACGGUACCCAAAGAAUAAGCACCGGCUAACUUCGUG